Molecule: ribosomal RNA, 500 nt
Filed under: uncultured bacterium
Lineage: Bacteria
Description: bacterial SSU rRNA
Rfam family: Bacterial small subunit ribosomal RNA
Source: RNAcentral
UAAUACCACAUGAUAUCGAGAGAUCAGAAGCAGGGGACCGCAAGGCCUUGCGCUCUGGGGUGAGCCUACGUCGGAUUAGCUAGUUGGUGGGGUAAGAGCCUACCAAGGCGACGAUCCGUAGCUGGUCUGAGAGGAUGACCAGCCACACUGGGACUGAGACACGGCCCAGACUCCUACGGGAGGCAGCAGUGGGGAAUCUUGGACAAUGGGGGAAACCCUGAUCCAGCGAUACCGCGUGUGUGAAGAAGGCCUUCGGGUUGUAAAGCACUUUAGGUGGGGAAGAAAGGUAAUGAGCGAAUAACUCAUUGCUGUGACGGUACCCGCAGAAUAAGCACCGGCUAACUCUGUGCCAGCAGCCGCGGUAAUACAGAGGGUGCAAGCGUUAAUCAAAAUGACUGGGCGUAAAGGGCGUGUAGGUGGUUGACUAGGUUUGAUGUGAAAUCCCCGGGCUUAACCUGGGAAUUGCGUCGAAAACGGGUCGACUCGAGUGAGAUAGAGGG